AGCGGCGGACGGGUGAGUAAUGCUUAGGAAUCUGCCAUUUAGUGGGGGACAACAUUCCGGAAGGAAUGCUAAUACCGCAUACGUCCUACGGGAGAAAGCAGGGGAUCUUCGGACCUUGCGCUAAAUGAUGAGCCUAAGUCGGAUUAGCUAGUUGGUGGGGUAAAGGCCUACCAAGGCGACGAUCUGUAGCGGGUCUGAGAGGAUGAUCCGCCACACUGGGACUGAGACACGGCCCAGACUCCUACGGGAGGCAGCAGUGGGGAAUAUUGGACAAUGGGCGGAAGCCUGAUCCAGCCAUGCCGCGUGUGUGAAGAAGGCCUUUUGGUUGUAAAGCACUUUAAGCGAGGAGGAGGCUACCUAGAUUAAUACUCUGGGAUAGUGGACGUUACUCGCAGAAUAAGCACCGGCUAACUCUGUGCCAGCAGCCGCGGUAAUACAGAGGGUGCGAGCGUUAAUCGGAUUUACUGGGCGUAAAGCGUGCGUAGGCGGCUUUUUAAGUCGGAUGUGAAAUCCCCGAGCUUAACUUGGGAAUUGCAUUCGAUACUGGGAAGCUAGAGUAUGGGAGAGGAUGGUAGAAUUCCAGGUGUAGCGGUGAAAUGCGUAGAGAUCUGGAGGAAUACCGAUGGCGAAGGCAGCCAUCUGGCCUAAUACUGACGCUGAGGUACGAAAGCAUGGGGAGCAAACAGGAUUAGAUAUCCUGGUAGUCCAUGCCGUAAACGAUGUCUACUAGC
This 731-nucleotide ribosomal RNA is filed under the name uncultured bacterium. RNAcentral's name for it is "bacterial SSU rRNA". It matches the Rfam family "Bacterial small subunit ribosomal RNA", at positions 94 to 820 of the family's 1533-position model. The record is from RNAcentral.